AUUUAAGUUGUUGCAGUUAAAAAGCUCGUAGUCGGAUUUUGGCUGAGAACGGUCGGUCCGCCGUUAGGUGUGCACUGACUGGUCUCAGCUUCCUGGUGAGGAGGUGUGCUUCAUCGCCACUUAGUCACCGUGGUUACUUUGAAAAAAUUAGAGUGUUCAAAGCGGGCUUACGCUUGAAUAUAUUAGCAUGGAAUAACACCAUAGGACUCCUGUCCUAUUUCGUUGGUCUCGGGACGGGAGUAAUGAUUAAGAGGAACAGUUGGGGGCAUUCGUAUUUCAUUGUCAGAGGUGAAAUUCUUGGAUUUAUGAAAGACGAACUUCUGCGAAAGCAUUUGCCAAGGAUGUUUUCAUUGAUCAAGAACGAAAGUUGGGGGCUCGAAGAUGAUUAGAUACCAUCCUAGUCUCAACCAUAAACGAUGCCGACUAGGGAUUGGCGGAUGUUAAUUGAUGACUUCGCCAGCACCUUAUGAGAAAUCAAAGUUUUUGGGUUCCGGGGGGAGUAUGGUCGUAAGGCUGAAACUUAAAGGAAUUGACGGAAGGGCACCA
This 546-nucleotide ribosomal RNA is filed under the name uncultured Chlorophyta. RNAcentral's name for it is "SSU rRNA". It matches the Rfam family "Eukaryotic small subunit ribosomal RNA", at positions 603 to 1169 of the family's 1831-position model. Lineage: Eukaryota; Viridiplantae; Chlorophyta. The record is from RNAcentral.